GGUUGAUUUGGGCCUUAACUAUUAUUAUUGUUAAUUUUGUGUUUUUAGAGUAAAUUAUCCAGAGGAAGCAUCUACCUUUGUGAAUGGGCCAAAUAUGCAAAAGUCCAAGUUGCUUCUUGAACCAAAACAGGAAACAAAUUCUGAGGAGAAGAAAGAGAAAAUAAAAUCUACAAUAUCUCAGAAACAGAAUUGGAAGCAAAUCUUCUGCAAAAUACAAGAAUUAUGGAAAGAUAGAAACUUGGAAACGGUUAACAAAAUAUAAACUACAAUAUUCUCUCAAGAUCCUUGGAGGUGAAAAGCCUAUAAAAGGACACAAGCAUCAAGGAGAAAGGAGAGAGCUUCAUAGGGUUUUCUUAGUUUAUUUUCUUCUUUGUAAUUCUUUUGUUUUGCCUCCGCAUGGAAGGCUAAACCAUUUUGGUUGAUUCCUCUGUAAUUUCCCAUUGAGCUCUGAGGUUUCGUUCAAUAAAAGUUUCUAUUUUUAAUUCUC
Molecule: long non-coding RNA, 487 nt
Filed under: Phaseolus vulgaris (common bean)
Lineage: Eukaryota; Viridiplantae; Streptophyta; Magnoliopsida; Fabales; Fabaceae
Description: long non-coding RNA (PVUL_LNC000993)
Source: RNAcentral